AUUCAUGGUCAUAGUGCCUUGAAUGUGCUUGAUCUCAUCUUAUCUCAGGAGCUAAGCAGGGUCUCAUUGCUUCACGUUUCUCUCCAUUUAGUUUGGUGUUGGCUACUGGUAUACUGUAUAUG
Molecule: ribosomal RNA, 122 nt
Filed under: Mus musculus (house mouse)
Lineage: Eukaryota; Metazoa; Chordata; Mammalia; Rodentia; Muridae
Description: predicted gene, 55325 (ENSMUSG00002076615.1)
Source: RNAcentral